AGAUUCCAAUCCUUGGCACAGAGCUUCUAAAACCCUUGAAAUUUCUGGAUUGGCCAUGCUAUGGCGGACAGAGUGCUGCCAGAUGCUGAGGGUUACUCAGGUCCUGAAAGUCUUGUGGAAAGAGACUAGUUUGGCACUGGCAUCAGAGAGAACAGCUGUCACUUGUCAGUGGUCUUGCUUCCAGACUAACAGCUACAGAAGAAGAAGGCACCAUCUUUACCCAGCAGGCUGAGCAACUAAGACCCACUUACCACUGUGGACAGGCUUCAUCCAGACCCCUGAGCAGCUGAACAGAAUGAGAACAAAGAAGGAGCAUGCGUUACUUUUUCAUAACGACAAAAUGCCCGACAAGAAGCCACCGGGGCAAGGACUUCAGCUCAUCUGGCCCUGGUGGGAGAGGUCCAACAGUGUGCCAAGGCUGGAGGGGCCUGGCGGUGUGUUAUGGUGGGAGAGGCCUGACUUUGGCGGUGGGAGCUUGUACACACCCCUUGUUCAUAUCAUAUCCAUCUAGUGCCAUUGCAAGAGACCUAAAGAACACUUCACAUGUGGCAUGUUUCAGGCACAGCUGUCUCUCACACAGCACAAAGAAAUCUGAGUCCCUUCAAAGUCAAAGAAUCAGUGUCACUGGAGGGUAUAUAGCAUUUUGAGAAGGAUGCCCAAUUUUCCCUGCUCCUCUGAUUCCCAACACGAAGCAGUAAUAACCUUGCCCUGGCAGUAUAGAAAGAAUCAUUGUAUAUUAGUCUCCAGAGAAGCAGAACUACAGCAUGUACUUGUGUAUUGUGCGUGUAUAUAUGCAUAUAUGUCAUCAUUGUGGUGGUUUGAAUAAAAAUGGCCCGCAUAGGCCCAUAGGGAGUGGCACUAUCAGGAGGUGUGGCCUUGUUGGAGGAAGUGUGUGUCAGUCUUCCUUCCUGCUGCCUGUGGAUUCAGAUGUAGAACUCUCAGCUCCCUCUCCAGCACCAUGCCUGUCUGCAUGCCGCCAUGCUUCCUGCCAUGAUGAUAAUGGACUAAACCUCUGAAACUGUAAGCCAGCUCCAAUUAA
Peromyscus californicus insignis is the source of this 1039-nucleotide long non-coding RNA. RefSeq lists it as uncharacterized. The transcript has 3 exons. The record is from RefSeq and is a predicted model, not a curated record. NCBI's taxonomy places the organism in Eukaryota, Metazoa, Chordata, Mammalia, Rodentia, Cricetidae.